Molecule: long non-coding RNA, 866 nt
Organism: Homo sapiens (human)
Lineage: Eukaryota; Metazoa; Chordata; Mammalia; Primates; Hominidae
Exons: 3
Source: RefSeq, a predicted model, not a curated record
AAGGUAGGGCCUUAGCGAGGGAAAUGGCUGCCGCGUAAUGCCCGGUGAUGCGAGAAAGAAGGGCCUGCUGCCACCAGGACCCGUCAUCGCCCAGCCCAGGGACCGCUUCUGAAGGCCAUGCGAGCCCUGGCGGCGCAGACUUACCAGCCCACAGCUCCGGCCGCGGUGCCCAGCGCUGGAGAACGGAAACAUAAUUCAAGACAUUUCCUGAGUGCCUUCUGUGUGGGCCGAAUGCUGUAGCUGCUGGGAUAGAGUUUCACUCUAUCGCCCAGGCUGGAGUGCGAUCUCGGCUCUGCAACCUCCGCCUCCCGGGUUCAAGCAAUUCUCCUGCCUCAGCCUCCCGAGUAGCUGGGACUACAGGCGCACACCACCAUGCUUGGCUAAUUUUUGUAUUUUUUGGUGGAGUCGCAGUUUCACCAUGCUGCCCAAGCUGGUCUUGAACUCCUGACCUCAAGUGAUUCACCCACCUUGGCCUCCCAGAGUGCUGGGAUUACAGGCAUGAGCCACUGUGCCUGGCCCUUAUCUGAGGAAUUUAGAAGGGAGCAAAGACCACCUGGUAACCAUCCAACAGGCCAUCCAGAGGCAAAACUCCUUAUCUGGGGAAAUUAGAAGUAAUUAAACUUCCCUAGUAUCUAAAGUGGGCAUCUGGUUCCAGGCCUCUUUCAACUUUUAUAAGUAACUAAAAUUUCUAGGCAUCUCUGGAAUGUCAUGCUGAAACUAAUUUUACAACCCUAAGCUCCUGCCUGAAGGUCCAUAAAUGCACCUAAGGAAAAUCCACCAAGGCCCUCAGUCCUCUCGCUGGGGUGCCCCGCUGCACUCUUCUGCAGCGUUCUUUCUUUCUAAGAAAUUUUCCUUUUUCAAACCUA